Molecule: non-coding RNA, 85 nt
Filed under: Citrifermentans bemidjiense Bem
Lineage: Bacteria; Pseudomonadati; Thermodesulfobacteriota; Desulfuromonadia; Geobacterales; Geobacteraceae
Source: RNAcentral
GGCCCGCUAUAGUCAAGUGGAGCCGCAACGGACACCGGAAAAAGAUACAUACCGCCUGGAUUUCGCAAGGAACCGGUACGGGAAG